GGGCACAAGAACCACCGACGAUGAUAGAUCUAGAGCUGGCCGUGGCCUGGCCUUGAGCGUCUUGCCGGUGGUCGCUCGAGUAUCUUCUUCCUCAUUCGCUUGCAGCGACGUCGAGGCCACCCCGGAGGCCAGGCUGGCGGGGCCUCCGACGAGCUCCAUCUGGCGGGGGGCGACGGUGAUUGAGGGAUUUGGCAAGCCAGCGCAGUUUGCGUCAGACGGUUGGGAUCCAAUUGGUUUCCGCUAAGGUUUGAAUCCCCCCCCCCCUUCCUUUCAAGCACAGGUGCCAUGUAUUAUUAAGUUGAUCCAAAGGGCUGAUUUGAGUGUUUUCAACAUGGCAGAUGCGACCAACGGACGCACAUCUUGAGUAAGGGCUACAACCAGAAAACGAAAAUUCAGUCAUGAGUGUGGGUUAGCAGCUUCAGAAUUGAAAAAGUGAUUUAAGUUCUUUCCUCUUGAAUUAGAAAGAAAAAAGAGAAAGGAAAAUUCAGUACUGGGUCUGUUGCCGGUUCC
Molecule: long non-coding RNA, 510 nt
Filed under: Triticum aestivum (bread wheat)
Lineage: Eukaryota; Viridiplantae; Streptophyta; Magnoliopsida; Poales; Poaceae
Description: long non-coding RNA (TAES_LNC025042)
Source: RNAcentral